ACAGUGAUCUAUGCAUGGCCAGAGUGAAGCGCAGGUAAAAUUGCGUGGAGGCUCGAACUCGUGAGCGUUGAAAAGCUUUGGGAUGAGCUGUGCAUAGCGGAGAAAUUCCAAUCGAACGUGGAGAUAGCUGGUUCUCCCCGAAAUAGCUUUAGGGCUAGCCUCAGGAAGUAAGUAUGAACGGUAGAGCACUGGUUGGGCUAGGGGCCGUAUUGGUUACCGAACCCUGUCAAACUUCGAAUGAGCAUACUGUAACCCUGGGAGUCAGACUGCGAAUGAUAAGAUCCGUAGUCAAAAGGGAAACAGCCCAGACCGCCGGUUAAGGUCCCCAAUGCCGUGCUAAGUGGCAAAGGAUGUGCAGUCGCAAAAACAACCAGGAUGUUGGCUUAGAAGCAGCCACCAUUUAAAGAGUGCGUAAUAGCUCACUGGUCGAGGGAUUGUGCGCCGAAGAUGUCCGGGGCUAAAGCACGGAACCGAAACCGCGGCUUUGCAUGAAAAUGCAAGGGGUAGGGGAGCGUUCUUAGCGGGUAGAAGUCGCUUUGUAAAGAGCGGUGGACUGCUAAGAAGUGAGAAUGUUGGUAUGAGUAGCGAAAAGAAAGGUGAGAAUCCUUUCCACCGAAAGCCUAAGGAUUCCUGAGCAACGAUCGUCGUCUCAGGGUUAGUCGGGGCCUAAGCCGAGGCAAAAAGCGUAGGCGAUGGACAACAGGCGCAAAUUCCUGUACCGGUCAAAAUCGAUUGAGCAAUGGAGUGACGCAGCAGGGUAGGCAAGCGCCCGAAUGGAAGUGGGCGUUUAAACAUGUAGAGAGGCAUCAAGGCAAAUCCGGAUGCCUGAAACUUAAGGUGUGACGACGAGUGAGUAGAGAUACAAACGAAGUUGCUGACCCCACACUGCCAAGAAAAACUUCUAGUGAGAAAUUGACCGCCCGUACCGUAAACCGACACAGGUAGGCGGGGAGAGAAUCCUAAGGUGCGCGGGAGAACCCUCGUUAAGGAACUCGGCAAAAUGUACCCGUAACUUCGGGAAAAGGGUAGCCCCUAAAAGUGAAGGAACGAAACGUCUGGAGCUUGUGGGGGUCGCAGAUAAGAGGCCCAGGCGACUGUUUACCAAAAACACAAGUGUCUGCCAAAGCGCAAGCUGAAGUAUAGAUGCUGACACCUGCCCAGUGCCGGAAGGUUAAGGAAGGAUGUUCGGGCAACCAAAGCAUUCGACCGAAGCCCCGGUGAACGGCGGCCGUAACUAUAACGGUCCUAAGGUAGCGAAAUUCCUUGUCGGGUAAGUUCCGACCCGCACGAAAGGUGUAACGAUCUGGGCGCUGUCUCAACGAGGGACCCGGUGAAAUUGAAAUACCUGUGAAGAUGCAGGUUACCCGCGACUGGACAGAAAGACCCCAUGGAGCUUUACUGUAACCUGGCAUUGUACUUUGAUGCAUCAUGUACAGGAUAGGUGGGAAACUGAGAAAGAUUGGCGCCAGCCGAUCUGGAGUUGCCGUUGGGAUACCACCCUUGAUGUAUCGGAGUUCUAACCGCAGGAAUAACAAACCUCGGGACAUUGUCAGGCGGGCAGUUUGACUGGGGCGGUCGCCUCCCAAAAAGUAACGGAGGCGCCCAAAGGUUCCCUCAGCGCGGUCGGAAAUCGCGCGCAGAGUGUAAAGGCACAAGGGAGCUUGACUGCGAGACAGACAAGUCGAGCAGGGACGAAAGUCGGGCUUAGUGAUCCGGUGGCGUCGAGUGGAAGAGCCAUCGCUCAACGGAUAAAAGCUACCCUGGGGAUAACA
Molecule: ribosomal RNA, 1772 nt
Filed under: termite gut metagenome
Description: bacterial LSU rRNA
Rfam family: Bacterial large subunit ribosomal RNA
Source: RNAcentral